AUUGAACGCUGGCGGCAUUCCUUACACAUGCAAGUCGAACGGUAACAGGUCUUCGGAUGCUGACGAGUGGCGAACGGGUGAGUAAUACAUCGGAACGUGCCUAGUAGUAGGGGAUAACUACUCGAAAGAGUAGCUAAUACCGCAUGAGAUCUACGAAUGAAAGAAGGGGAUCGCAAGACCUUGUGCUACUAAAGAGGCCGAUGGCAGAUUAGGUAGUUGGUGGGAUAAAAGCUUACCAAGCCGACGAUCUGUAGCUGGUCUGAGAGGACGAUCAGCCACACUGGGACUGAGACACGGCCCAGACUCCUACGGGAGGCAGCAGUGGGGAAUUUUGGACAAUGGGCGAAAGCCUGAUCCAGCAAUGCCGCGUGCAGGAUGAAGGCCUUCGGGUUGUAAACUGCUUUUGUACGGAACGAAAAGCCCCGGGUUAAUACCCUGGGGUCAUGACGGUACCGUAAGAAUAAGCACCGGCUAACUACGUGCCAGCCGCCGCGGUAA
RNAcentral lists this ribosomal RNA (498 nucleotides) under uncultured bacterium. RNAcentral's name for it is "partial 16S ribosomal RNA". It matches the Rfam family "Bacterial small subunit ribosomal RNA", at positions 30 to 523 of the family's 1533-position model. The record is from RNAcentral.